This 642-nucleotide unclassified non-coding RNA is filed under the name Hevea brasiliensis (rubber tree). Lineage: Eukaryota; Viridiplantae; Streptophyta; Magnoliopsida; Malpighiales; Euphorbiaceae. The record is from RNAcentral.
GAAGACUAAGCAAUUGGAGAAAGAUUAUGAACUUCUUAAGAGACAAUUUGAUGCUAUCAAAGCUGAAAAUGAUGCUUUACAAACUCAAAAUCAAAAGCUUCAUGCAGAGAUAAUGUCACUAAAGAAUAGAGAGCAACCAACAGAAUCAAUCAAUUUGAACAAGGAAACAGAAGGAUCAUGCAGCAAUAGAAGUGAAAACAGCUCAGAAAUAAAGCUAGACAUAUCAAGAACACCAGCCAUUGACAGCCCAUUAUCCAAUCAUCAUCCAAAUAUUUCUAGUAGACCUUUUUUUCCACCUUCAAUGAUAAGGUCUAAUAAUAAUAAUAAUGGGGUUGUGGUACCUCAUCAACUCUUUCACAUCAAUUCAUCAUCAUCAAGACAAGAUCUCAAAUUAAUGGACCAAAAUACUACUAAUAAUAAUAGUAGUAGUGUCAAAGAAGAAAGCCUAUCCAACAUGUUUUGUGGAAUUGAUGAUCAAACAAGUUUUUGGCCAUGGCUAGAGCAACAACAUUUUAAUUAGUUGAAACUUUUUUGGAGACCAAAAAGUUUUUACUUUUUUUUAAAAAAAAGUUGUUGAGUUGAAGGAGCCUUUUAAAUUAUAUCAUAUGAUCAAUCAUAUUACUUCUUUUGAGUUCAUGAGAG